UAUAGUAGCCUAAAUGCCAUAGGUCGAACAGAUCUAAUCAUGAUAUUAGCCCACUAUGCUAUCCCUCAGUUCUAAUUCCUAAUAUUGGGAAGGAGCCUACCUAGCAGACCAAGCAAAAACAAAAAAGCACCGAGGCCAUGGCAACCAAGAAUUGUAGAGGACAUUGCUCUAACCAUUUCACUCUUAUCUACGCUUUGAGGAACCGAGAACUAUUAGAGCGGCACUGUGGACAUCCUUGAGAUAAUCAUCCUCCACAAUAAAACCAUCAUUAAAACAAUAACAGAUCCAACAUGUCACAAAUAUACUCUCUUUCAGAAACUCAACUUGCAUAACUAAAAAAUCAUACAAAACUAUAGACAAAACCCAACCAGAUGAUAA
This 378-nucleotide unclassified non-coding RNA is filed under the name Hevea brasiliensis (rubber tree). The record is from RNAcentral. Lineage: Eukaryota; Viridiplantae; Streptophyta; Magnoliopsida; Malpighiales; Euphorbiaceae.